CAAUGAUGAUGAUGAUGAUGAUGAUGAUGAUGAUGAUGGUGAAAAAGAUAGUAGUUGGAAGAGAAGGAAUAAAACAGCCAUAUUAUCAUCAUUAUUGUCAUUAUCAUCUCAAUUG
This 115-nucleotide microRNA precursor is filed under the name Bigelowiella natans CCMP2755. RNAcentral's name for it is "miRNA EPrBNAG00000013524". The record is from RNAcentral. Lineage: Eukaryota; Cercozoa; Chlorarachniophyceae.